GACGAACCGAGCGAACGUUGUCCGGAAUCAUUGGGCGUAAAGCGCGUGUAGGCGGUCCGGUAAGUCCGCUGUGAAAGCCAGGGGCUCAACCCUUGGAUGCCGGUGGAUACUGUCGGGCUUGAGUACGGAAGAGGCGAGUGGAAUUCCUGGUGUAGCGGUGAAAUGCGCAGAUAUCGAGAGGAACACCUGCGGCGAAGGCGGGUUGCUGGGCUGAUACUGACGCUGAGGCGCGAAAGCCAGGGGAGCGAACGGG
Molecule: ribosomal RNA, 253 nt
Filed under: uncultured bacterium
Lineage: Bacteria
Description: partial 16S ribosomal RNA
Rfam family: Bacterial small subunit ribosomal RNA
Source: RNAcentral